RNAcentral lists this ribosomal RNA (800 nucleotides) under uncultured bacterium. RNAcentral's name for it is "bacterial SSU rRNA". It matches the Rfam family "Bacterial small subunit ribosomal RNA", at positions 8 to 799 of the family's 1533-position model. The record is from RNAcentral.
AGAGUUUGAUCAUGGCUCAGAUUGAACGCUGGCGGCAGGCCUAACACAUGCAAGUCGAACGGUAACAGAAAGCAGCUUGCUGCUUUGCUGACGAGUGGCGGACGGGUGAGUAAUGUCUGGGAAACUGCCCGAUGGAGGGGGAUAACUACUGGAAACGGUAGCUAAUACCGCAUAACGUCGCAAGACCAAAGAGGGGGACCUUAGGGCCUCUUGCCAUCGGAUGUGCCCAGAUGGGAUUAGCUAGUAGGUGGGGUAACGGCUCACCUAGGCGACGAUCCCUAGCUGGUCUGAGAGGAUGACCAGCCACACUGGAACUGAGACACGGUCCAGACUCCUACGGGAGGCAGCAGUGGGGAAUAUUGCACAAUGGGCGCAAGCCUGAUGCAGCCAUGCCGCGUGUAUGAAGAAGGCCUUCGGGUUGUAAAGUACUUUCAGCGGGGAGGAAGGGAGUAAAGUUAACACCUUUGCUCAUUGACGUUACCCGCAGAAGAAGCACCGGCUAACUCCGUGCCAGCAGCCGCGGUAAUACGGAGGGUGCAAGCGUUAAUCGGAAUUACUGGGCGUAAAGCGCACGCAGGCGGUUUGUUAAGUCAGAUGUGAAAUCCCCGGGCUCAACCUGGGAACUGCAUCUGAUACUGGCAAGCUUGAGUCUCGUAGAGGGGGGUAGAAUUCCAGGUGUAGCGGUGAAAUGCGUAGAGAUCUGGAGGAAUACCGGUGGCGAAGGCGGCCCCCUGGACGAAGACUGACGCUCAGGUGCGAAAGCGUGGGGAGCAACAGGAUAGAUACCCUGGUAGUCCACG